Molecule: RNA transcript, 2321 nt
Organism: Xyrauchen texanus (razorback sucker)
Lineage: Eukaryota; Metazoa; Chordata; Actinopteri; Cypriniformes; Catostomidae
Gene name: inositol polyphosphate-5-phosphatase A-like
Exons: 17
Source: RefSeq, a predicted model, not a curated record
ACUCCAGCAGCAGUGUGUGCUCCCUAAACAAGCCCGAGCAAUGCGCUUAUUUGCCGCACACAUCGCCAGGGAGACACGCUCCGCGCUGAAAUGAGCCGCAGGAUUAAACAGGGCAACUUUUAAAAAUCAUGGCCGAGACGGUGGGAAAGUAAAGCGAGACGCUUUGAGUACGGACUGCGCUCUGCGUACUACACGCACACGAGUAUGCACGAGCCCAGCUGAUCGAGACUCGAACCCGCGGCGUUUGACGUGAAGAACCGUUAUCACCGACUCUACAUCCCCGUUCCCCGCAGACACGGCCGAGAUUAGUUCAUCAGUGCCGUGCAAUCACUAAUGAUGGCGGGAGCGGGAAUAUUGCUGGUGACGGCCAAUGUCGGAUCGCUGUUUGAAGAUCUGGAGAAUCUGCAGAAGACGUGGCUGCGGGAGUUUUACCAGACCGUUCAAGCACACAGGCCUCAUUUUGUGGCGGUUCACUGUCAGGAAGUUGGCGGGAAGAAUUAUGAAGCGUCCAUGACACACGUGGACAGCUUCAUCAAAGAGCUGCUGUCCAGUGACGCCAUGAAGGAGUUCAACAGAGCACGCAUCUACCUCGACAAGAACUACCAAUCACAGGAGCAGUUCACAGCGCUGGGAUGUUGCUACUUCCUCCACGAAUCGCUGAAAAACAUCCAGCAGUUUGAUUUCAAAGCCAAGAAGUUCAAGAAGGUGGUUGGGAAGGAGAUUUACUCCGACACGCUGGCGAGCUCCAGCAUGCUGGAGAAAGAGAAGUUUCCUCGAGACUAUUUUCCUGAGUGUAAGUGGUCCAGGAAAGGUUUUAUCAGAACUCGAUGGACUCUCGCUGACUGUGCCUUCGACCUGGUCAACAUCCACCUGUUCCACGAUGCAUCAAACUUGGUGGCGUGGGAAAAAAGUCCUUCAGUCUAUUCCGGCACGCGACAGAAAGCACUCAGCUACGUGCUGGACAGGAUCACAGAUCAGCGUUAUGAUCGGCUGCCGUAUUUCCUCUUCGGUGACUUUAACUUCAGGUUGGACUCCAAGCAGGUUAUUGAGAGUCUCUGCUCGACUGCCAGCAUGCAGACAGUGAGAGCGCCCGACACCAAUGAAGUGGAUAAAGUCAUCUUCAGAGAAUCUGACAACGAUCGCAAGGUCGUCUUACAGCUGGAGAAAAAGUCAUUUAACUACAUUAACCAGGAUGUUUUCCGGGAAAACAAUGGGACUCUGCUUUUACAGUAUGAUAAGGAGCUGUCCGUCUUUAAGGAACGUCUUCAUGAGCUGGAGAUCUCGUUUCCUCCCAGUUAUCCGUACAGUGAAGACAGCAGUCAGGGGGAGCAGUACAUGAACACUCGAUGUCCCGCCUGGUGUGACCGAAUCCUGAUGUCAGCCUCGGCCAAAGAUCUGCUCAUAAAGUCAGAGAAUGAGGAGAAGUCAAUCGUGUAUGACAACAUGGGACCCAACGUCUGUAUGGGGGACCACAAGCCGGUCUUCCUGUUCUUUCGGUUAAUCACUGGUGCUGCUAAACCUCACACACAUAAGCACAACUGUUGUGUCCUGCAGUGAUCGGGGAGAUGUUGCCAAAGUCUGGAGAAGAUUUCAUGAAAAACACCCCUUGUGCCAACUGAGUGUGCCAACUGUGUGCCAACUGAGUGUGCCAACUGUUGAACAGUCAAGUGUACUUUGAGUUCAUCCUCUAAAAUGAAGAAUAUCUUGUAUUAUAGUGCCACACCUGUUAAUAUCCUGAUUACUCUCAGAGUAACUGUAAUCACGAGUACAUGAUAUAUUACAUUUCUCAUUCAUCCUCCAGCGCUGUUUAAGUGUGUUAUUGAUUCAUGCAUUACACUGUACAGAAUCUGUUCAGUUGAUUCUUGAUUUGUUGAAUCCCGUCAGCAGGAUGAGUUUGUGUGGUUUCACUGUGAUUCAGUUCCAUGAAAGGUCAGGAGAUAAAAUUCCCAGUUUUCCUUCAGCAGACAGGGAUGAGACCCGGAACCCCACGACACGCUUUCACACAAUAUUGAAAUAUUAUUACACUUAUUAUUAAUUAUAUUGUUCUUUAAGUGGAUUUAUAUUGUUACUUAUUGGUUAUAAAAGAAUGAUCAUUUGUUAUUAGCUGCAGGAAGUCCUGCUUAAAAUAUCUCCGUAUUAUAAAUCCAAUAAAGGUAAAAUAAUGUUCAGAAACUCUCAUUAAACGUGUGUGUGUGUGUGUGUGUGUGUGUGUGAGUGUGUGUGUGUCUGUGUGUGUGUGUGAGUGUGUGUGAGUGUGUGUGUGUGUGUGUGAGUGUGUGUGUGCUUGUGAGUGUGUGUGUGUGUGUGUGUGUGUGAGUGUG